Molecule: ribosomal RNA, 467 nt
Filed under: uncultured bacterium
Lineage: Bacteria
Description: partial 16S ribosomal RNA
Rfam family: Bacterial small subunit ribosomal RNA
Source: RNAcentral
ACGAACGCUGGCGGCGUGCUUAACACAUGCAAGUCGCACGGAAAGGCCCUGCUUUUGUGGGGUGCUCGAGUGGCGAACGGGUGAGUAACACGUGAGUAACCUGCCCUUGACUUUGGGAUAACUUCAGGAAACUGGGGCUAAUACCGGAUAGGAGCUCCUGCUGCAUGGUGGGGGUUGGAAAGUUUCGGCGGUUGGGGAUGGACUCGCGGCUUAUCAGCUUGUUGGUGGGGUAGUGGCUUACCAAGGCUUUGACGGGUAGCCGGCCUGAGAGGGUGACCGGCAACAUUGGGACUGAGAUACGGCCCAGACUCCUACGGGAGGCAGCAGUGGGGAAUAUUGCACAAUGGGCGGAAGCCUGAUGCAGCAACGCCGCGUGCGGGAUGACGGCCUUCGGGUUGUAAACCGCUUUCGCCUGUGACGAAGCGUGAGUGACGGUAAUGGGUAAAGAAGCACCGGCUAACUACGUG